RNAcentral lists this transfer RNA (75 nucleotides) under Candidatus Roizmanbacteria bacterium RIFCSPHIGHO2_02_FULL_38_11. Its description in RNAcentral is "tRNA-Val". It matches the Rfam family "tRNA". Rfam says of the family: Transfer RNA (tRNA) molecules are approximately 80 nucleotides in length. Their secondary structure includes four short double-helical elements and three loops (D, anti-codon, and T loops). Lineage: Bacteria; Candidatus Roizmaniibacteriota. The record is from RNAcentral.
GAGCUCGUAGCUCAGCGGCAGAGCGUUCGAUUCACAUUCGAAAGGCCGAUGGUUCAAAUCCAUCCGAGCUCACAA